CUCAAAUUUGAAAUCUCUGGGAUUCCAUCUCAGCGAAUUGUAGUUUAUAGAGGUAUUUUCGGCGGCGCUCCGGGUCCAAGUUCCUUGGAAAAGGAUGUCAAAGAGGGUGAGAACCCCGUGUCUGGCCCGUUCUCCGCGCCGCCAUACGAUAUACUUUCUACGAGUCGGGUUGUUUGGGAAUGCAGCCCAAAAUGGGUGGUAAAUGCCAUCUAAGGCUAAAUAUUGGGGAGAGACCGAUAGCGAACAAGUACAGUGAUGGAAAGAUGAAAAGAACUUUGAAAAGAGAGUUAAACAGUACGUGAAAUUGCCAAAAGGGAAGGGUAGGAGGUCAGAGAUGCGUCGCAGGAUUCAGCCUUGCUUUUGCUUGGUGUUUUUCCUGCGUUGCAGGCCAACGUCGGUUUUGGGCACUGGAGAAGGGUAGGAGGAACGUGGCACCUCUCGGGGUGUGUUAUAGCCUCCUACUGGAUACAGCGACCGAGACCGAGGAACGCAGCGUACUCGUAAGAGCGGGCCUUUUGGCACCUUUACGCUUAGGGCGUUGGCAUAAUGGCCCUCUACCACCCGUCUU
This 568-nucleotide ribosomal RNA is filed under the name uncultured Pseudozyma. RNAcentral describes it as "eukaryotic LSU rRNA". It matches the Rfam family "Eukaryotic large subunit ribosomal RNA", at positions 108 to 655 of the family's 3401-position model. Lineage: Eukaryota; Fungi; Basidiomycota; Ustilaginomycetes; Ustilaginales; Ustilaginaceae. The record is from RNAcentral.